This 305-nucleotide ribosomal RNA is filed under the name uncultured bacterium. RNAcentral's name for it is "bacterial SSU rRNA". It matches the Rfam family "Bacterial small subunit ribosomal RNA", at positions 333 to 630 of the family's 1533-position model. The record is from RNAcentral.
UGGUUCCUACGGGAGGCAGCAGUAGGGAAUUUUCGUCAAUGGGCGCAAGCCUGAACGAGCAAUGCCGCGUGAACGAGGAAGGUCUUCGGAUCGUAAAGUUCUGUUGAAGGGGAAAAAGAGCGGAGAGAGGAAAUGAACUCCGAUUGAUAUUACCCUUCGAGGAAGUCACGGCUAAAUACGUGCCAGCAGCCGCGGUAAUACGUAUGGGGCAAGCGUUAUCCGGCUUUACUGGGUGUAAAGGGAGCGCAGGCGGCCUGGCAAGUCUGAAGUGAAAGCCAGGGGCUCCACCGCGGGACUGCUUUGGA